This 430-nucleotide ribosomal RNA is filed under the name uncultured bacterium. RNAcentral's name for it is "bacterial SSU rRNA". It matches the Rfam family "Bacterial small subunit ribosomal RNA", at positions 340 to 786 of the family's 1533-position model. The record is from RNAcentral.
UACGGAAGGCAGCAGUGGGGAAUCUUGCGCAAUGGGCGAAAGCCUGACGCAGCCAUGCCGCGUGAAUGAUGAAGGUCUUAGGAUUGUAAAAUUCUUUCACCGGGGACGAUAAUGACGGUACCCGGAGAAGAAGCCCCGGCUAACUUCGUGCCAGCAGCCGCGGUAAUACGAAGGGGCUAGCGUUGCUCGGAAUUACUGGGCGUAAAGGGCGCGUAGGCGGAUCGUUAAGUCAGAGGUGAAAUCCCAGGGCUCAACCCUGGAACUGCCUUUGAUACUGGCGAUCUUGAGUAUGAGAGAGGUAUGUGGAACUCCGAGUGUAGAGGUGAAAUUCGUAGAUAUUCGGAAGAACACCAGUGGCGAAGGCGACAUACUGGCUCAUUACUGACGCUGAGGGCGCGAAAGCGUGGGGAGCAAACAGGGAUUAGAUACC